GACGAACGCUGGCGGCGUGCUUAACACAUGCAAGUCGAACGGAAAGGCCCUGCUUUUGUGGGGUGCUCGAGUGGCGAACGGGUGAGUAACACGUGAGUAACCUGCCCUUGACUUUGGGAUAACUUCAGGAAACUGGGGCUAAUACCGGAUAGGAGCUCCUGCUGCAUGGUGGGGGUUGGAAAGUUUCGGCGGUUGGGGAUGGACUCGCGGCUUAUCAGCUUGUUGGUGGGGUAGUGGCUUACCAAGGCUUUGACGGGUAGCCGGCCUGAGAGGGUGACCGGCCACAUUGGGACUGAGAUACGGCCCAGACUCCUACGGGAGGCAGCAGUGGGGAAUAUUGCACAAUGGGCGGAAGCCUGCUGCAGCAACGCCGCGUGCGGGAUGACGGCCUUCGGGUUGUAAACCGCUUUCGCCUGUGACGAAGCGUGAGUGACGGUAAUGGGUAAAGAAGCACCGGCGAACUACGU
RNAcentral lists this ribosomal RNA (467 nucleotides) under uncultured bacterium. Its description in RNAcentral is "partial 16S ribosomal RNA". It matches the Rfam family "Bacterial small subunit ribosomal RNA", at positions 28 to 506 of the family's 1533-position model. The record is from RNAcentral.